GAAAUUGGCGCGGUUUGUAGUUCCUGUAUCAUACUUGAACCAACCUUCAUUUCAAGACUUGUUGAGUCAAGCCGAGGAAGAGUUUGGAUAUGAUCAUCCAAUGGGUGGCCUCACCAUUCCUUGCACCGAAGAUGUCUUCCAACACAUAACUUCUUGCUUGAAUGGACUAUGAAUCUUAUACUAUACGCUAGAUUAGUUGAGACAUUUUUCAAAUAGGAAUUUAUUUGACUUGUGAAGUUGUAAAUAUAUGACACUUUUCAUGAGAAAUGGAGAAAUAUUACCAUCUGAAUAUCAAAUUCAAAAAUAUACUGUCCUCUUUUUCCUUGUUUAAUAACACUGAGCUCCGUUAUUUUAUAAAGAAUAACUCUGCUUAUUUAAAUAUUAAAUCCUAUCACAAUUUAUAGUUUAUUCUUAAAGUUUAAGUCUAUUCAAAUGAUAUGAUCCAUUACAUUUAUUUCUCUAAUACUAGCAAAAUUAAUGUCAUUUUAAAAUCCAGAUUAACCUUUUUAUGUAACAAACACGUUUUGCUAAUUCCAGGUAGCUAACUAAAAUUCUUGAACUAAAUCGAUAACUACUGAUUAUUUAGCCAGUUUAACAAGGCUUGUUCUAUGUCUUCAGAAAUUGCCUUUGUGCCCAUUUAUUAUAUACUAGCUUGAGCUAGCUUGGUUGAAUUUUUUACUAAUACUCAAAUACGAAAAGUUUAACAUCAUUAUUUUAACUAAUCUUAUAUCCUAAGUAGAAAUUAACUAGCUCCUAGACUUCAACUUUUCUCAACUUUCCCGCUAACUAAUGAUUUUAAAUCCUAUCGGUAAUUAGAAGAAAAUUCAAACUGGCCUGCUGGUAGGACUUGUCAAAGUCUUUCACUAGUAGUUUUUUUCCCAGACAUUCCAAAACAGAAAAAUCGCAAAUUUUGUUGUUACAGUUGAAUGUUUAUCUAUAGGGACUGAGGAACAGUUACUCUAUACCCUUCUAAUGUUUGGCAUUGUCCCAAAUGAACUCAAUUAUACAGAAUCUGUAAUAGAUCUAAACAAAGAAAAAAAACUAGCAGAUGGUAAAAUAUGUGGCUAGUCCCAUGUUCAUAAAUUGAAAUUACACAUUUUUUACAGCAAAAUAGAAAUUAGUCGCUCUUUUUUUAGAGCAAAAAUGUAACUAGUAAUUUCAAAGCAAAAGAAAAACAACUUUGUCAUUAAAGAAUUUGAUUAUAAAUUGUAAAGUUGACUAUUUUUAACUUAAUUUUGUUAUUAAGAAAAUAACAAUUCGUCACCUGAGAGAUUCGAACUCUCGCGGGGAAACCCCAUGUACUUAGCAGGCACACGCCUUAACCACUCGGCCAAAGUGACUUGUUGCUAGAGCAAUUUUUAUCCAAUAAUUAUGUGCUUCUCUGCAGAUUGUUUUUUUUUUUUUUUUGCAAUAAAUACAAUCUAUGAUCGUUAAAUCAUUUUUUUUAUGGAUGAUUGUUAAAUCAUGAUAGUUACUAACUUUUAUUUUUUUAAUUUAUUUUUGCAAAACGGGGGAUUGAUUUUAUAUUUGAAUAACUGAAUCUUUCAUUAUUGUGGAGAAAUAUAGAGAAAAUAUUGUUAAUAAAUUUCUCAUUGAGAUGAACAUUUUUACAACCAAGUAUGAUAACAACAAAAGAUUAAAUCUUUUGAAUGUGAGAAACUAAACUGCUACAAAAAUGGGUCAAAUAUCUACAUUAGUCCAAUGAUAUCUUCAAAGAGCUAAUUCAAUUCAAGUGAGAAAUGAUAUCUAAGAAAAUCUCUUCUCUGCAAGGAAUAGUGAGACCACCCAUUGGAUGGUCAUAUUCAAAUUGUUCCUCAGCUUGGUUCAACAAUUCUUGGAAUGAGGUUUGGUUCAAGUAUGAUACAGGAAUCACAAACCGCUUCAUUUUCUCUCCUACGUACACUGCUAGAUACCCCUUUGGCACCUCCAAACCUUUUGAAGAUGAUGCCUUUGAUCUGAUGAUACUUGGUAAACGAAAACCCAUUGUUGUAUGUAUGUGUUGAAAAUAAAGACUUGUUUGUAAAUAGAAUGCUCAAGUUUCUGAAUUUCAAAUGCUUUUGGUUGUGAAUGGUUGUGUGUUGGUCCAAAAUGCUUGUAUAUAUAGACGAAUGAAAGGAUAUGUAACAAACAGUCGGCAACUUGCAGGAGAGCCACGAGAUGGAUUAGAGUCAUGAAAACUAUGGGAGACAAGUCCAUAUGAAAGAUCACAUGGUUUUGUUUUGGAGGACUUACACAUGGGUCAACAUCAAACUAAUUUCAUGGUAGAUAAUGCACCCCCUUCAAAUAAUGCAGAUUAGUCUAUCCGUUCGUUAGGUCGAUACUAGCUGGACAUCAGCACUUUGAUAAUGAAGAAAACAUGUCUGAAACAUGUUUACAAAAUUAUGAAGUGAUAGUUAAUGCAUGAACAAAUAUGAGGUUGAAUUUGAAAGGGUGGUGUACAAUCUUUAGACAACCCACAUGCUAUAUCAUCUUAUCCUUUAAUUCUUUCAAACAAUAAUUUAUCUUGGAAUUAGGUUUGCAAAGAAUAUUAGUAACUAUAAAUAUACUUACAAAUAGGCAUCAAACACAACACAAGUCAUUGGUAUCCUAAAGUAUUAGUUAGAUUCUUCUAAAUUUUUGUGAUCUUUGCUUUCUUGAGUUUGUUCUUCACCUUCAAACAAUCACCAAAAAUGGGUUUCCGCUUAAAUGUUAUUCGACAGGCAUCAUUUGCGACUAGCCAAGCAGCAUCAAAAUCAGCAGGAGUUCCAAAGGGCUAUGUUGCAGUAUAUGUCGGAGAGAAACAGACGCGGUUUGUGAUCCCAAUAUCAUACUUAAACCAACCAUUGUUUCAAGAAUUGCUACAUCAAGCGGAAGAAGAAUUUGGAUAUGAUCAUCCCAUGGGUGGACUCACCAUUCCUUGCACUGAAGAUGUCUUUCAACACAUAACUUCUUGCUUGAAUGAGCCAUAAAUCUGACACUUUAGCAUACUGACAGAUUAUAGAGAAAUUUUGUACCAUACAAAUUUUUUAACUUGUAAAAAUUAUACCUUUUUAUUGGAAACAUCGAAAAAUACUUAUCUGAAUUAAAAGAAAAACAACUUUCAUAUUUCCUUCUUGUGUAAUGACAAUAAGAUCAGUUACUUUAUCAAUUACAAUUUCAGCACUCCGCAAUUUGAACAUCACAAAAAAAAAAGAGCUAUCUGCUUGCCUAAGGAAAAAUGUAGACUUGUAUGUCCUCAAAUUUGACAGUAAAAAUAAUAUGAACAGUCAGUGCAGAGCUAAACUUAUUUUUCAGAACCAAACAUAAGUUGUAUCCACAGAACAAAAUCAGUUUUGCUAAUUCAAUUAGCUAACGGGGAAAGGACCUACCAUCAAAUGUACAUGAAAGAAUAAGGGAAAAAAAUAUGAUUCAAAGAACAAGUGUGUGCUACUCAUGCGACUUUGAUAACGCCUAUUAAGAGUUAUUUGGAAUAACAUGCACAUCAGAUGAUCCAGACGAUUAUAACUUUUUUAGGCAUUAACAGAGUGAAAUUAAAAUAUUGUUAGAGUGCACUUGUAGUGAAAUGUUAACAUUGGACAAUUUCUUUUCAAGAGAGAAAUAAUUGUUUUCAUUUAAUGACCGUCUUACGAUUCUAUAUUGAACAAUUGUCAUACUGGAGCCUUUGAUUAUCAAAAAGAUUGUUGAGGGAAUAAUUUAAGAAGAUAUAUUCAUAAAUUCCUCAUUCAGAUGAACUUGUCUACAAAAACGGUUGAUAAAAACAAAAGAGAAUAUUUCCAUGAUAAGAUCUACUGUUACAAAAAUUUGGUCAACUAUCUAUGUCAAUCUAAUCUGAGUUAUCUUCAUAAGAUGUUAGCACCUACUCAAGCGAGAAGUGAUAUCUAAGAAAAGAUCUUCUUCACAAGGAAUUGUAAGACCACCCAUUGGAUGGUCAUAUCCAAAUUCUUCGACAGCCUGGCUGAGCAACUCUUGAAGUGAAGUUUGAUUCAAAUAUGACAUUGGAAUUACAAACCGCUUCAUUUUUACUCCUACGUACACCGCAAGGUAUCCCUUUGGCAUAUCCAAGCCUUUUGAAGAUGAUGCCCUUCUGAUACCAGGUAAAUGAAAACCCAUUCUUGUAUGUCUAGAAAAAAAAAUUAUUGCUCUAGAAAAUACUAGUAAACAAUACUCAAGUUUCUGAAUUUCAAAUUGCUAAGAAUGUGAGAGAUUUGUGUUGGUUCGAAAUGUUUAGCAGUCAUGAAUAUAUAUAGCUGAAAGGAUACAUAACAAGUCGUCGGAAAUUGUAAUAAUCAAUGAAGGAGGGCCAUAAGAUAUGAGUCAUGCCCAGACAAGGGCAUAUGAAAGAUCACAUGGAGUUGUCUUAGAGACUUCAAGCGUUAUGGUAGCUAGAUAAUGCAUAAUUCUUGAGAAGAAGCAUCAUAUAAUUGAUAGACUUGUAAGUAGAACCACAAACAUGUAGAAUGGUUUCUGUUGAUCUAUUGUUAUCUAUGGCCUUAUAGUCACUUACUAGCUGGACAUCAGCAUUGUCAUAAUGAAGAAAACAUGUCUUCAGCAUGUUUAUAAAAUUAUGAAGGACAUCUCAUUUGGUAGGAAGUGGAAGCUUUGUAUUGGACAUUGUUUAAGAAGGUAGGGUACACUCUAAGACAGCACCACAUGCUACCUUAUCACUAUGCUCUCUAUCCUUCCACCCCUUCAAUAAUAGUUUUUCUAGGAAUUGGGUUUUGAGAUAACUUCAAACUCUAUAAAUACACUUCCUCUCUCCUUCACAAACAGCACAACUCAUUAGCAUCAUCAAUUACUUAGUUACAUCCUUCUUACUUUUGAUAUUUUUUUCUCUGUUCUUCUCUCGAACAAUAAGAAAAAUGGGUUUCCGUUUACAUACUAUUCUAAAGGGUUCAGUAAAAUCAAAAUCUAUAGAAGUGAGAAAGGGCUAUGUUGCAGUGUAUGUUGGAGAGAAACUGACGCGUUUUGUCGUUCCUGUGUCAUAUUUGAACCAACCUUCAUUUCAAGACUUGUUGAAUCAGGCUGAGGAAGAGUUUGGAUAUGAUCAUCCAACGGGUGGCCUCACCAUUCCAUGCUCCGAAGAUGUGUUCCAACAUAUAACUUCUUGCUUCAAUGGACUAUGAAUCUUAUACUAUACGCUAGAUUAGUUGAGACAUUUUUCAAAUAGGUGUUUAUUUGACUUGUGAAUUAGUUGUAAAUAUAUGACACUUUUCAUGAGAAAUGGAGAAAUAUUACCAUCUGAAUAUCAAAUUCAAAAAUAUACUGUUCUCUUUAUCCUUGUUUAAUUUACAGUGAGCUUAGUUAUUUUAUCAGUUACAACUUUCACCGGUUUUAGUUAGUUCUUUAGUAUAAGCCUGCUUAUAAAGAAUAACUAUACUUCUUUAAAAAUUAAAUCCUAUCACUAGUUUGUUCUUAAAGUUUAAGUAUGUUCAAAUGAUAUGAUCUAUUACAUUUAUUUCUCU
RNAcentral lists this long non-coding RNA (5441 nucleotides) under Medicago truncatula (barrel medic). Its description in RNAcentral is "long non-coding RNA (MTRU_LNC002002)". Lineage: Eukaryota; Viridiplantae; Streptophyta; Magnoliopsida; Fabales; Fabaceae. The record is from RNAcentral.